UCGACAGAGAGUUUUGUUCUUCUUGAAGUUCUUUAUCUCGUCACCGGAAUUCUCCUCUGUACUUGCCGGAAUCGGUUUUUCUCUCAGAUUAGGGUUUCAAUUUGGAGAUUUCGAGUAUCUAAGAUACAAUGGAGAAGAAGAUUGGUAAAACACUAACGACAAACGUUAUUGACUUAAUGGUUGACUUAAUGGUUGACUUUUCUGGGUAUCAAUUUGCCGAGUCAACAAAUACUUAGGGAAUAAAAGCGUGCGAGCAAUAGUUUGGUAUUUAAAUUGCCGGUUUCAAAUAGUUCGGGAAUUAAAUGCUUAUUUUUCCGUAGUUCGAAACAAAUUAUAGUUUUGAGGUUUAUUUUGACAAUAAUCUCUAAUAUAGGAGUCUUUUCAUUAAUUUCAAAAUAUCACCUGUGAAUCCAGUUUCUUCACCAAUCUCUCUCUUUUGGGUUCCGGACGAUCCCAAACGGGAGAGCUCGUCGGUGGCUACUCUCCUGCUCAUUUCGAAGGUACGUGAACAAUAAUUAAUUAAUUAUUUUGUUUUUUCAGUUGUAUUGGUAACUAAUCAAUCUCUCUGUUUUAGGACUUUCAGUGAAUCACUUUAAUGUGAUUUCUGUAUACUUUUGUUGCUUCUUGUAUGUUAUUUUUCUUUCAUAGUGUUAUUACAAAUUUACAAGUAAUGGGUUUAACCCUUUACAUAGACUGAUUCAGUUUGUGAAUUGCUUGCUUGUGAAAUGUAGAUGGAUAUUGUCAGAAGAGAGAAUUAGCCAAUGGAAUGGUCCAGUUUCCCCUACAAUGCUUCUCUUAGGACCAGACUUUGAACUUAGAAGCGCUUAUUAUGUUGCUAAGUGGACAUCAAAGUAAUUUGUGUUUUAGAGUGUGUUUAGUAGUAAUCAAAGAUAACCAGAGUAAGAUUAGAGAGAUUAGGAGAAUAAAGAGAUUUUAGAGAGAGAAUAGAGAGAUAGACUCAAAACUCCAUUGAUUCAUACAAUCUGAGAGUUUACAAGAUAAAAUAGAGAUGCAAGCUUGUCUAGGUUCAAUGUAUCUAAAAACAGAAGCAUGUGAGGUCAAAGGCAAUAUUUGAAUUCAGCCAAUGAGAAGAUACACAUGCUUUGGCAUCUUUCCAGCAUGUGCCAGUCUGUCCAGACAUGUAUCUCUCUUCCUGCACUUCGUUGCACCUAGCUGCACUUUACUACACUUCAUAAAUUUCACUGCACUUCUCUCAACAAGCACCUCUCAUCUCAACAAACACUUCAUUGAACCCCAAAACUUCAUGUCUUCACUUCUCAGUCUUCAUCUCAACACAAAGUGCUGGAACCGUGAUCGCUUCGAGAGAGUUCAUGGAGACUGCAAAGACUGUGGUGUUGAAAGGACACAAGAACGCUAUAUUCGAUCUUCACUGGAUUAGUGAUGGCUCACAGGUUGUUUCAGCCAGUCCUGAUGAAAACCUUUAAAGCUUGGGGACAGGGACACAAGUUAAGAAAAUGGCUGAACAUUCCUCAUUUGUGAAUUCUUCCUGUACUUCACGUACGUAGAGGGUUACCUCUUAUAGUAAGUGGGUCUGAUGAUGGAACUGCAAAGCUUUGGGACAUGCGUCAGAGAGGAGUCAUACAAGCAUUCCCUGACAAAUACCAAAUCACAGCCGUGAGUUUCUCAGAUGCAGCUGAUAACUGGUAGGAGCCUUAAGUCCAGACGGGUCUUAUCUUCUCACUAAUGCUAUGGACUGUAAGCUCUGUGUAUGGGUUAUGGGUUAUGUGUCCUUGUGGAAAUGUGUGUGGUCACCGGAUGGUAGUAAAAUGGUUCAUGUAUGGGUUAUGUAUAAGCUCCCAGGUCACAAUGUUUCUGUCAGUGAGUUUGUAGUAGUGAUAAACUGAUUUAUCAAGGUGAGAUUCUGUUCCCCAAAUCAUUUAAAACAGAGACACCAACCUUUGAUCAUAAUCAUGUUUUAAGUUAAACAGAGACACCAACCUUUGAUCAUAAUUCAUAUCUCUCAUGAUCAUAAUCAUGUUUUAAGUUAGAUUGAGACUUAGUGUUCAUAAGCUUGCUAUGGUUGUUGUCAAUUUCAUCUUACACACUCUUUUUGUAUUCAGAUUGAAAUAAUGUUUCUUUCUUCCCUCUUACAUCUAUAUCUUUGUUGAGGAUUUGAAGUAGCUCUAACAUCUUGUUUUUGCAUAAUCUAUAGAUGGUCAAGCUCAUCUUUCUUUAACACAGUAUCCUGCAUUAUCAGUUGGUUACUGUUUGUUUUCUCUCUCUAGUUUAUUUAGGUAAAUAUUAUAUAAUCUUAAAAUAUGGUUUAUUUAGGAUAUCUAGCACAAUAUCUUAAUACAUAGAAAUAUUUUAUGAGUUGAGAAAACUGAAGAUGGAUUUUUUCAUGAAUUGCUUCCAAGGCAAAGUCAAUGUUCGUUUUCAACUGCUGUUGGUUAAGGGCUGAAAGCUAAGGCUUCACGGUAGAUUAAAUCCUUAAUCUCCUCCUCUGUGAAUGGCUGUUCCUCUAAAUCAAAGUUGAAGGGCGUCAUGCACACUGGUUCAUCAGUGAAGCCGUGCAUCUCUCGGGGAUAUGGAUGAUCAAGCGCGUCUUCAACUGCAAAUAUGGCAAAGAAAAUGGUGAUAAGGAGUCUAAAUCAAAACUUCAAUGUAGCUAAAGAAGAGACAUAAACGUAUCUACUAACCUGAGAUUCUUUGUCUAGGGUCAAAUUUUAGCAUCUUCAUUAUCAAGUCAAGAGCAGGGUAAGGCACGUUUGGGAAUACCACAAAGAAUGAUUGGCGAUCAUGAUAAGGUAGCUGUCUUAAGUAUAGCUUAGCAUUUUCACUCAAUGAUCCAGUUCUUCUUCUGAUGGAGAGCCUAGGAGCUGCAAAUCAAAGUGUAAAUUUUAAGUUAAAAAGAUUAGUAAAAAGGAUCACUAAAAAAGAUUUAAUGUAACUUUUUAUUACCUCCAAGACCAAACGAAGCUGAUGAGCAUGAUCAUUACCGCGGAAGACCAGUUUGCGAGUCAGCAACUCCAAGAAGAUGCAGCCAACAGACCAGACAUCUAUAGCUGAGGUGUACACGGAUGAGUUCAAGAGAAGCUCAGGAGCACGGUACCACCUUGUGACAACAUACUCAGUCAUUGCAUUAUUCUCUGAAGCACCACGAGCAAGUCCGAAAUCACAUAUCUUCAGUUCACAGUUCGCGUUCACGAGGAGGUUGGCCGGUUUUAAAUCUCUAUGUAUCACAUUGGCUGCGUGAAUGUACUUUAAUCCACGCAGGAUUUGGUACAAGAAAAACUGCGUUACAAAAUAACAAGAAAAAAUGAUUACUUUAGAAAUGAUAGAAGUUUUAAGAAAAAAAUCAAACUCAAACCUUGUAAUGAAGUGGUUCUAGUUCUUGAUUGGAUGUUAUGACUUUAUGAAGGUCAUACUCCAUCAACUCAUUUACAAUGUAUACAUCUUCAAAAGCAUCUCUCCGAGGAGGCAAUAUUAGGUCUCUGAUUCCAAUAAUCUAUAGAAAAAUGGUAUCUAUAUAUAUAAAAAUAUGUUUGCCUCCUCCUGUACUGUCACAGGAUCUAGGUCAGAAAGUCGUUGCCUGAGGAGACGACACGUGUCCUUUUCAUCAAAACGUACAGCUUCAUUUAACUUAGAAUCUUGGGAAGGCGUUUAGGGAUUGGGAUCUGUGGGGACCGUUUUUCUUCAAGCCAGCCAAAUCGCCCUCGAGGUCCAAACCCUGCUUUUUCAGAAAAUUUCCUCUGUUAAAUAUCUCUCAUACUCUUUGAUAAUGGCUUCUUUCGCAGAUUCAUCUAUCUGAAUUGAAGGCUGGACAGUGCAGGUAGCGUGUUGAGGCAAGGCUUUCGCGUUUCUGGGAAUCCCGAAAGGAAGUGAUUUGAGGGAGAAAGGGAUGAGAAUUCUCCUCAAGAAGGUAUGGUCUGUGGUGGAGCUUUGUCGUACGGAAGUUUCGAUCUACAAGGUUCCAUGAGAGUUCAUCAUCACAACCCCAAUUCCAGACCGCUUGAAAGUCUUUCCUUUACCGUGGUUACAGCUCAAACAUGUAAUCACAACAUGCCAUUGACUGAGCAACAUAAAGGAGAAAGAGAGAAUAACUCAGUGAGUUAUGAUCAUGAACCAAGUUUUAGUGAGGAAGGUGGUGAUGGUCACAACGAAUCCAUCAGCUAAAAAGUCUCCAUGGCAGUGAUGAAGUUGACUGAUAAGAUGUUGAAGUUUCUGAUAACCGACGUGCCUUAUAUAGGUGAUGAUUUGAGUAUGGAUGGUGGUAGUAGAAGAAAGUUUGCGGCUUUACAGAGAAAGAGCAAAUGGAAAUUUGUUUUUGAAGUUCUGUUUGAGAGAGGUUAUCAUGUCUCGCCUCAGCAGUGUGAGGAUAAGUUUAAUGAUUUGAAUAAGCGGUUUAAGAAGCUUAAUGACAAUCGAUUGAAUCUGCAUCAUGACCUUGCUCUGCAGCAUUCGGUAAAGCUAGCGUUUAGAAACAUAGAUGAUCAAGAGAAUGAUGAUUUUAGGAAUCAUUAACUUGAAAGACGCACAAAUAGAAAAAAUAGACAAUAUCUGAUUUGUUUAUUGUUUUGGGCCUUUUGGCUCAUCAGACCCGAACAUUAUCUCAUCUUUGGCAAUCAAGAAUCUACUUUGCAACAAUAGUAAUCAGAUUAACACAUCUCAGGUUCUCUCCAUUUUUCUCAUCAAUAAUGAAUGUUCUUAUUUUGUCUGCUUUUGGGUUUGCUGAUGUACAUAUGGUUGAAAUUUUUUACAAAGCUUUAAAAUUUAAGCGAUUCUCAAAAGUCUCUCUGUACUUGGAUUUAAGAGUGUUGCUCGCAUUCAAAACAUCAAAAAAAAAAUCAUGUUUCUUUUUUACUUAUCUUUCCACGUGCCAAUCUUAGUAAUCUUGAACCCUUUUAUUUGCAAUACCACUCAUAUCUCUUUCCUUUCAAAUACUAAUUGAAGUCCAAACAAAAUAAAUGGAAUUUGAGAAAAGAGAUUUAUCCUUAAGAUUAUUUUUCAAAAACUUUAUGGAAGUAAAUAUCCAUUCAUGUUCUCAACCACUACAAAUACCACCAACGCCAAAUAUAUUUUUAUCAAGUGCACAAAAACUAUAAUAUAUUUAAAAUUACAAUAGAUACAUUAGUUAAAUGAAAAUAUUAUUUUUAAAAAUAUUAUGGAUGCAUAUAUAAAUAUUAAGAGAAAUGUAUAAAAUGAAAUAAAAGUAACAAUGACUUGAAGAAAAAAAAUGUAUAAGACUGAAAAUAUUUAUGAUUUGUGGUCUAAGAUAUAUUCAACUUAUUGUCCUAAUCAAGGUAGAAUAAACUUUGGAUAAUAUUUUUUAUAAAAUAUAUAUACAUGAAAAUAUUUUUAAUGGUAGAGUCUAUUUAUAAUUUCCAAUAAUCCGCCAAGUAAAGAAAAAGAAAACAUACAUGUAUAUGAAAAAAGAAACAUGCAUGUAUAUAACCAUGAAAAAAGAAAACUACUUUAAAUAACUUAAUCAAAAACAACAAACACAUUCAACUAAACACAGCAAUUGCUAAACGCAAUGAACAUCACAACCCAGUGGCGGAGCCACAUGCAUCAAGAUGGGGGCCACUGAACCCAACAAAACUUUGAAAAUUAGUGUAUGUUAUUGAAUUUUAAUCUGUAUGCCCCCAUUCA
Molecule: long non-coding RNA, 5613 nt
Organism: Brassica napus (rape)
Lineage: Eukaryota; Viridiplantae; Streptophyta; Magnoliopsida; Brassicales; Brassicaceae
Exons: 2
Source: RefSeq, a predicted model, not a curated record